UAAGCGACUAAGCGUACACGGUGGAUGCCCUGGCAGUCAGAGGCGAUGAAGGACGUGCUAAUCUGCGAUAAGCGUCGGUAAGGUGAUAUGAACCGUUAUAACCGGCGAUUUCCGAAUGGGGAAACCCAGUGUGAUUCGUCACACUAUCAUUAACUGAAUCCAUAGGUUAAUGAGGCGAACCGGGGGAACUGAAACAUCUAAGUACCCCGAGGAAAAGAAAUCAACCGAGAUUCCCCCAGUAGCGGCGAGCGAACGGGGAGCAGCCCAGAGCCUGAAUCAGUGUGUGUGUUAGUGGAAGCGUCUGGAAAGGCGCGCGAUACAGGGUGACAGCCCCGUACACAAAAAUGCACAUACUGUGAGCUCGAUGAGUAGGGCGGGACACGUGGUAUCCUGUCUGAAUAUGGGGGGACCAUCCUCCAAGGCUAAAUACUCCUGACUGACCGAUAGUGAACCAGUACCGUGAGGGAAAGGCGAAAAGAACCCCGGCGAGGGGAGUGAAAAAGAACCUGAAACCGUGUACGUACAAGCAGUGGGAGCACAGAGCAAUCUGUGUGACUGCGUACCUUUUGUAUAAUGGGUCAGCGACUUAUAUUCUGUAGCAAGGUUAACCGAAUAGGGGAGCCGAAGGGAAACCGAGUCUUAACUGGGCGUUAAGUUGCAGGGUAUAGACCCGAAACCCGGUGAUCUAGCCAUGGGCAGGUUGAAGGUUGGGUAACACUAACUGGAGGACCGAACCGACUAAUGUUGAAAAAUUAGCGGAUGACUUGUGGCUGGGGGUGAAAGGCCAAUCAAACCGGGAGAUAGCUGGUUCUCCCCGAAAGCUAUUUAGGUAGCGCCUCGUGAAUUCAUCUCCGGGGGUAGAGCACUGUUUCGGCAAGGGGGUCAUCCCGACUUACCAACCCGAUGCAAACUGCGAAUACCGGAGAAUGUUAUCACGGGAGACACACGGCGGGUGCUAACGUCCGUCGUGAAGAGGGAAACAACCCAGACCGCCAGCUAAGGUCCCAAAGUCAUGGUUAAGUGGGAAACGAUGUGGGAAGGCCCAGACAGCCAGGAUGUUGGCUUAGAAGCAGCCAUCAUUUAAAGAAAGCGUAAUAGCUCACUGGUCGAGUCGGCCUGCGCGGAAGAUGUAACGGGGCUAAACCAUGCACCGAAGCUGCGGCAGCGACGCUUAUGCGUUGUUGGGUAGGGGAGCGUUCUGUAAGCCUGCGAAGGUGUGCUGUGAGGCAUGCUGGAGGUAUCAGAAGUGCGAAUGCUGACAUAAGUAACGAUAAAGCGGGUGAAAAGCCCGCUCGCCGGAAGACCAAGGGUUCCUGUCCAACGUUAAUCGGGGCAGGGUGAGUCGACCCCUAAGGCGAGGCCGAAAGGCGUAGUCGAUGGGAAACAGGUUAAUAUUCCUGUACUUGGUGUUACUGCGAAGGGGGGACGGAGAAGGCUAUGUUGGCCGGGCGACGGUUGUCCCGGUUUAAGCGUGUAGGCUGGUUUUCCAGGCAAAUCCGGAAAAUCAAGGCUGAGGCGUGAUGACGAGGCACUACGGUGCUGAAGCAACAAAUGCCCUGCUUCCAGGAAAAGCCUCUAAGCAUCAGGUAACAUCAAAUCGUACCCCAAACCGACACAGGUGGUCAGGUAGAGAAUACCAAGGCGCUUGAGAGAACUCGGGUGAAGGAACUAGGCAAAAUGGUGCCGUAACUUCGGGAGAAGGCACGCUGAUAUGUAGGUGAAGUCCCUCGCGGAUGGAGCUGAAAUCAGUCGAAGAUACCAGCUGGCUGCAACUGUUUAUUAAAAACACAGCACUGUGCAAACACGAAAGUGGACGUAUACGGUGUGACGCCUGCCCGGUGCCGGAAGGUUAAUUGAUGGGGUUAGCGCAAGCGAAGCUCUUGAUCGAAGCCCCGGUAAACGGCGGCCGUAACUAUAACGGUCCUAAGGUAGCGAAAUUCCUUGUCGGGUAAGUUCCGACCUGCACGAAUGGCGUAAUGAUGGCCAGGCUGUCUCCACCCGAGACUCAGUGAAAUUGAACUCGCUGUGAAGAUGCAGUGUACCCGCGGCAAGACGGAAAGACCCCGUGAACCUUUACUAUAGCUUGACACUGAACAUUGAGCCUUGAUGUGUAGGAUAGGUGGGAGGCUUUGAAGUGUGGACGCCAGUCUGCAUGGAGCCGACCUUGAAAUACCACCCUUUAAUGUUUGAUGUUCUAACGUGGACCCGUAAUCCGGGUUGCGGACAGUGUCUGGUGGGUAGUUUGACUGGGGCGGUCUCCUCCUAAAGAGUAACGGAGGAGCACGAAGGUUGGCUAAUCCUGGUCGGACAUCAGGAGGUUAGUGCAAUGGCAUAAGCCAGCUUGACUGCGAGCGUGACGGCGCGAGCAGGUGCGAAAGCAGGUCAUAGUGAUCCGGUGGUUCUGAAUGGAAGGGCCAUCGCUCAACGGAUAAAAGGUACUCCGGGGAUAACAGGCUGAUACCGCCCAAGAGUUCAUAUCGACGGCGGUGUUUGGCACCUCGAUGUCGGCUCAUCACAUCCUGGGGCUGAAGUAGGUCCCAAGGGUAUGGCUGUUCGCCAUUUAAAGUGGUACGCGAGCUGGGUUUAGAACGUCGUGAGACAGUUCGGUCCCUAUCUGCCGUGGGCGCUGGAGAACUGAGGGGGGCUGCUCCUAGUACGAGAGGACCGGAGUGGACGCAUCACUGGUGUUCGGGUUGUCAUGCCAAUGGCACUGCCCGGUAGCUAAAUGCGGAAGAGAUAAGUGCUGAAAGCAUCUAAGCACGAAACUUGCCCCGAGAUGAGUUCUCCCUGACUCCUUGAGAGUCCUGAAGGAACGUUGAAGACGACGACGUUGAUAGGCCGGGUGUGUAAGCGCAGCGAUGCGUUGAGCUAACCGGUACUAAUGAACCGUGAGGCUUAACC
RNAcentral lists this ribosomal RNA (2901 nucleotides) under Escherichia coli 6-537-08_S3_C1. RNAcentral's name for it is "bacterial LSU rRNA". It matches the Rfam family "Bacterial large subunit ribosomal RNA". Lineage: Bacteria; Pseudomonadati; Pseudomonadota; Gammaproteobacteria; Enterobacterales; Enterobacteriaceae. The record is from RNAcentral.